RNAcentral lists this long non-coding RNA (798 nucleotides) under Mustela putorius furo (domestic ferret). Its description in RNAcentral is "lncRNA (ENSMPUG00000026162.1)". The record is from RNAcentral. Lineage: Eukaryota; Metazoa; Chordata; Mammalia; Carnivora; Mustelidae.
GAGAUCCAGCUGGAUGAAUCAUCCUUUAGACACACAACUCUUCUCAGAGACACAGAUCUUUUGAAAGCUGAUGGGGACAUCUUUCUCCAAAGCAAUUCAGGAGUUAAUCCUCAACCAAACAACCCUGUGAAGUAACUCAGGAGUACAGGGUUCAUUUUUUGUUUUCUUCCAAAAACUCUAGGGAAAUGUGGAACACAGUAUCUACAUAUCACUCUUCUGAAAACUUCAGAGAUCCCUCUGUUCUCCAAGCAGAUGGAGAUCCCACUCUAUCAAGGGUUUUGUCUGUUGGCUCUUCCAAAGAGGCUGGUGCUCCUGACUCUUAAGAGUAAGAAAGAGAAAGGUGACGACGAUGAUCCCAACAAGGUCACUCCCAAGAAGGCCGCUCCAGAGGAGGCUGCUCCACAGAUGAGGCUGCUCCCCCUUCAGAGCCACUCCCAAGAAGAGGCCACUCCCAGGACAAGGCCGCUGCUGGAUGAGGUCGCUCCCCGGAUAGGGCCGCUCCCAGGAAGAGGCCACUCUGGAGGAGGCCGCUCCAGACAACGAAGAGGCAACGAUGACAGCAAUGAUGACAAGGAGGACAACCCUGAUGACACAGACUCUGCUCCCCAUAACGCCACGCUGACAAGGCUGCCACCCAGAGGAGGCCACCGCUGCGGACAAGGCUGCUCAUGGCUCAGGGUGGCGAGGCAUUUUGCAGUGAGGCUGCUGGCGGCUAGGGGCCAUUGGCGUCUCAGGACCACUGGCAUCUCGGGGCUGCAGACGUGGAUACUGCUGACAGCUGGACCGCUAUGGUCUUAG